AUACGUAGGUGGCAAGCGUUGUCCGGAUUUAUUGGGCGUAAAGCGAGCGCAGGCGGUUUCUUAAGUCUGAUGUGAAAGCCUUCGGCUUAACCGGAGAAGUGCAUCGGAAACUGGGAGACUUGAGUGCAGAAGAGGACAGUGGAACUCCAUGUGUAGCGGUGAAAUGCGUAGAUAUAUGGAAGAACACCAGUGGCGAAGGCGGCUGUCUGGUCUGUAACUGACGCUGAGGCUCGAAAGCAUGGGUAGCGAACAGGAUUAGAUACCCUGGUAGUCCAUGCCGUAAACGAUGAAUACUAGGUGUUGGAGGGUUUCCGCCCUUCAGUGCCGCAGCUAACGCAUUAAGUAUUCCGCCUGGGGAGUACGACCGCAAGGUUGAA
This 377-nucleotide ribosomal RNA is filed under the name uncultured bacterium. RNAcentral describes it as "bacterial SSU rRNA". It matches the Rfam family "Bacterial small subunit ribosomal RNA", at positions 523 to 898 of the family's 1533-position model. The record is from RNAcentral.